GCCCCGGUCGUCUAGUGGUCCAGGAAGGCCUUAGCCCUGGAGUGGCGGCCUGUCGAGCCGCAGAACCCGGGUUCGAAUCCCGGCCGGGGCGCCA
Molecule: transfer RNA, 94 nt
Filed under: Thermofilum pendens
Lineage: Archaea; Thermoproteati; Thermoproteota; Thermoprotei; Thermofilales; Thermofilaceae
Description: tRNA-Asp
Rfam family: tRNA
About the family: Transfer RNA (tRNA) molecules are approximately 80 nucleotides in length. Their secondary structure includes four short double-helical elements and three loops (D, anti-codon, and T loops).
Source: RNAcentral